Molecule: long non-coding RNA, 2680 nt
Filed under: Capsella grandiflora
Lineage: Eukaryota; Viridiplantae; Streptophyta; Magnoliopsida; Brassicales; Brassicaceae
Description: long non-coding RNA (CGRA_LNC000761)
Source: RNAcentral
GUUCUAAGAAAAAUAUAUUGAUCUUGUAACUAAAAUGUACAAUCAUCCUUUAUUAAAUAAAAUCAUGAGAAAUUAACUAACCUUUUUGCUAGCUAAUCCACUUACUACAUUCUGCAAGUCUUCAAGUUUUAUCUACAAAUCUGCUUGUGUGGCUCCAAGCUUCUCCACAUUUGAAUCCCUACCUAACAUAAAUGCUAACUUACUGGCAGUAACCCCUCUGCCCAUUCCCCUGAGUCUUCCAGGUUUGUCUUUUCCUAAAACUUGACUAACAACAUCUACUUUCAGACUUGUUGUUGAUGAGGAGGCCAUUUCACUCUCAAUUGAUUUGAUUUUUUCCUGGUACAAUUUUGUCAGCACAAUUAUAGAAGUCACCAAAACAAAACCAACAAAAUUAUGAGUUCUUCUAAUAGUCUCUGCAAAUUCUGGCCUGACAGGUCUCCCAUCUGCAUAUGUUUGUCGUGCUAGCCAUACCUUGCUUCUGGACACUGUUUUAAGGUUAGCAGUCUUCUUUUUCUACAGAUGAGACAUAUCAAUAUAUAGUAGCCAAUCAAGUAUUAAUCUUAUAAUAACAAGUACUAGCUAGAUAUAUACCAGCUCAUGAGCUAGGCAAACCAUCCAUUUGCGGCUUGUAGUGUGUGGAAUCUGAGCUUUCAUCAAUUUCUAGGCGAAACAUCACUUCGUUCGUGAAAGUACCAUCAAAGAGAUUAUGAAUAAUCUACUAGGAACAAUCAUUUAUCAUAAUUAAAGAAACUAUUGUAUUCCUACUCAAAAUCUGUUGUAUUCCUACUUUUCACCCAAGCAUACCAAGCUGCCAUAGAUUCUAUGUUGCUUGGGUUUAGCUUAACUAAUUCUGUCUUACUCUUAAUUGAACGCACACGAGAGAUGAGCUUAGAUUUAGACAACCUCCACAAAGAACUCAUUUGUUUAAAAACAGCAUCCUUUUGCCAAUCUUCUUUCAAAUUGAACCUCCCCUACAAUAAUGAAUAAUGUUAAAGACAAACUGUUAUUAGUAUAAUAUAAAUCUAAUAUGAAAUUAUGCCUGAAUCUCUUCCCAUAGUGUGUCUCUAGUCUGAUCAGGCAAGUGCCUCCAAACAUCAAGCAAGACAGGUACAUGUUCUCUUACAAGCGGCCCAAGGAAGGAUGAAAUUGUCACUGAUUCAUCACCUAUAUGUUCACCAAUAGAUGUAAAUUCAACUUCUAUCUCGUCAUCAUGGUGUUUUGAAAUUUUACAGAUUCUAGUUGGUCCUCGUGUUUUCCUUUGCUUGUUAUCUGACUGUUGGGUGUGAAUUUCUUUAGGGGAAGGAGGCAAAGUAUCAUCUACAUCACACGGCUGAGAGAUAUCCUCUUCUCCAUCUUUCUCUACAAUUAGCUCUUCAUUGCUAGGUUCUUUAUUCUCUUCCUCAUCUGAAGCCACUUCUUCAUUGGUAUUAAGUUGAUCACGGUACUCUUUUGCAGCCAUUUUUUCAUUGGUACUAAGUUGAACAAGGCAUUAACAAGUUCCUCCUCGUUAGCCAAGUCAGAACCAAGUACAUCAGUAACAUUCUCAUGCUCUGGAAUCUCAACCUGAUUUUUUUGUCUCUUAUAUGUUUCUUCAAUCCUACUUCAGAACCCAGGUCAAUGCCUAGUUGACGUUUCUUGCGACAAGGUUUGGUCUUCUCACUUUUAGUUGACAUGUUGGAUCACCUCAAACACAACCAAGUGUUAAUAACAAUCACAAAACACAUAAUUUUAAGAAAUAUCAGUUUCAUUACUAGUAGCACUAACACAUAAACUGUCACAAACCCACUAUUAAUCCAUUAGUAAGACCCCUUCACAAUCAUUCCUAACACAGAAACUCUAAUCAUUAGAGGAUUGAUUGUCCAAAUAUUCAAGUUCUUGGAUUGGUACUGAUGCAGAAAAAAACUCUACUUCUGUCUUUAACUCGUGAAAUUCUCUUGGUGGCGCCUUCAUUACCAUAUACCAAGGGGAGGACUCAUCUUCUCUUGAAUAGAAAAUAUGCUAUCCUUGAGCUACUGGAAUAUAAGGAUCUUGAAGGAAUGCAAAUUGGUUUAAAUGGAGGUUCACAAGAGUGAAUAAGUCUUCUUCUUUAACACCAUUCCCUUUAUUGGCCCACUUACACUUGAAUAUGGGAACUUGGAACAUAUGAUAGUCCAAUAGAAGGAUCUCCUUUAUCACUCCAUAGUGUGUAACUAUAUCAGCCUUUUGUCUAGUAUCCUUGGCACUGGAUCUACACAUACUAAAAGCUUCAUAUGUGACUCUACAAUUUUUUCUUCCUUUUCAUGUCGUCUGUGUGAAACCUAUGUCCAUUAAUGACAUAGCCCUUGUAUGUCUGAGUAAUAUGCCGUCUGUGUGAAACCAAACGUGUCCAGCUUGCACCCGAUUCAGCUCACUUAAGACCGACUUAGUAUUUUGUCAUUUUGUGUUUUAGGGUUUUGAGAACCCACUAUAAGUAAGGACCAUUGGUCAUUAAGAACAAAAAUCGAGUUUUCAUUAGGGUUUUUCUUUGUAGCCAACAAACUUUCCAGAAACUUGUAAUCUUAUUAUCUCUUGAUCUAUUGAGUUUUUGCUGUUGCUUAUCUGUAUUAUCUUCCUCCUUUAGAGUUUUUUGGGUUUAUGCUUUUUACUAUAAUUUGUAGAUUUGAGUAGUGUUCUUAGCUUUUAGGGAUGAUGUAGAUCUGUG